AAUUCUCAACCUUUAUCACUUUUUGCUGAUAAUGGCUUGGAUAUGGGGGUCUAUUUUGCUGGCUUCUUUACGGAUGGUCAGCUCCCCUUAAAUGCAUUAGCCGGUGCCCCGCGUGGACUGUCUAUUGGUGUGAUAAUUAUCUACGCCGUGGACAUCUGCAAUUAUAUGGGUUUGCACUGCUUCCAACCGUCUGUUCAAUCAGACAAUACAUGACA
This 215-nucleotide unclassified non-coding RNA is filed under the name uncultured Hebeloma. RNAcentral describes it as "partial internal transcribed spacer 2". The record is from RNAcentral. Lineage: Eukaryota; Fungi; Basidiomycota; Agaricomycetes; Agaricales; Cortinariaceae.